UUUAAAAUAAAAAUAAUAAAAUAAAAAUUACACGUUCUAGAACCAUCGGUCCUACGCUAUAAAAAAUGUGUGAAUUGAUGGGGGCGAACAAGCGUCAGGGUGAUACUCUAUCCUGGGUUGAAGCGAUGAGUAGAGGGAGGGAGGCGGCAUGAGAUCAACAAUUUGAUGAAGAAGGAGACUGAGAGGAUUCGGGCGACCAUAUUUCUUUCAUUCAUCUGAGUGGACAAAUCCAUGGUUUUGGAUUUAGAAGGCCUAACAAUUUUGUAAGCCCUAAGGGUGACGCAUUUUUCUCGGACCCCAAGUAUUGCCUUGAGGAAACAACGCCACGAAGUUGUUUGGAUUGAUGCACUGGAAGUUGUAAUUUUGUUGGAUCAUGUUCAUUGUUUGCACUUAAUUCAAUAGGGUUUUGAUUUUUCAUAGUCAACUUACUGAUUAUUUUGUUUGUCCAAAGCAUACUCCUUACGCAAAGGGGACAUAUUUGGAUUUGAAUUAUUUUUAACCUCAAGUAUAUACCCGUUACGCAAAGGGGACAUAUUUGGAUUUGAA
Molecule: long non-coding RNA, 546 nt
Organism: Andrographis paniculata
Lineage: Eukaryota; Viridiplantae; Streptophyta; Magnoliopsida; Lamiales; Acanthaceae
Exons: 3
Source: RefSeq, a predicted model, not a curated record